AGCGAACGCUGGCGGCAGGCUUAACACAUGCAAGUCGAGCGGGCAUCCUUGUGGUGUCAGCGGCAGACGGGUGAGUAACGCGUGGGAACGUGCCCUUCGGUUCGGAAUAACUCAGGGAAACUUGAGCUAAUACCGGAUACGUGCGAGAGCAGAAAGGUUUAUCUGCCGAAGGAUCGGCCCGCGUCUGAUUAGCUAGUUGGUGAGGUUACGGCUCACCAAGGCGACGAUCAGUAGCUGGUCUGAGAGGAUGAUCAGCCACACUGGGACUGGGACACGGCCCAGACUCCUACGGGAGGCAGCAGUGGGGAAUAUUGGACAAUGGGGGCAACCCUGAUCCAGCCAUGCCGCGUGAGUGAUGACGGCCUUAGGGUUGUAAAGCUCUUUUCUCCGGGACGAUAAUGACGGUACCGGAGGAAUAAGCCCCGGCUAACUUCGU
Molecule: ribosomal RNA, 436 nt
Filed under: uncultured bacterium
Lineage: Bacteria
Description: partial 16S ribosomal RNA
Rfam family: Bacterial small subunit ribosomal RNA
Source: RNAcentral